AUUGAACGCUAGCGGGAUGCCUUACACAUGCAAGUCGAACGGAGUGGCGAACGGGUGAGUAAUGUAUCGGAACGUGCCCAGUAGCGGGGGAUAACUACGCGAAAGCGUAGCUAAUACCGCAUCCUAUUGGAGCCGCCUCUAUCGGAUUAGCUAGUUGGUGGGGGAACGGCUCACCUAGGCGAAGAUCCCUAGCUGGUCUGUGAGGAUGACCAGCCACACUGGAACUGAGACACGGUCCAGACUCCUACGGGAGGCAGCAGUGGGGAAUAUUGCACAAGGGGCGCAAGCCUGAUGCAGCCAUGCCGCGUGUAUGAAGAAGGCCUUCGGGUUGUAAAGUACUUUCAGCGAGGAGGCGUUACUCGCAGAAGAAGCACCGGCUAACUCCGUGCCAGCCGCCGCGGUAAUAC
Molecule: ribosomal RNA, 407 nt
Filed under: uncultured bacterium
Lineage: Bacteria
Description: partial 16S ribosomal RNA
Rfam family: Bacterial small subunit ribosomal RNA
Source: RNAcentral